Molecule: non-coding RNA, 1207 nt
Organism: Phalacrocorax carbo (great cormorant)
Lineage: Eukaryota; Metazoa; Chordata; Aves; Suliformes; Phalacrocoracidae
Source: RefSeq, a predicted model, not a curated record
UACUCCUACACUUUUUCUUCCAGGAUCCCAUGCUUCCUGUGGGUGUUCCCACAGCUGCCAAUUCAGACAGCUCGAGUCUGGAAUAGGCUUUGCACAAUCCUGAAGAUGCUAUUCUCUCACUAAGUCAAGUGAUUCCACACAAAAAUAUGGCAGAUGUUUAGCAUCAGGAAUCAAAACAGCAUUUUCGCACCACACAGCACAUUCUUCUCUUCCUGAUACCUUUCAUUUCCUCUCUACAGGAUAUGGAGCAAUUUUCCUCUUUUGCUGCUGUUCAUGUGAACUCAGGAAUCUGUGAACUAUACCAGGACACUUGAAUUCCCAUGUAAUCUUCUCUGAGAGAUCCCUUACAUGAAUCUGCUAGAGGCAGUAGGAGCCACAAAGGACCUUCCUCAGAGGCAGAGAUUGCAGAUGACCCCACACAGAAGAAAGGAUGCAAAGCACAAAGCUUCCCACAUGGCACCACAUGGAGCUUUGGCAGACCUGUGGAGUGGGAAGUUGAGCAGGCAGCCCAGAGGCAUCACAGCCAGAAGAGAAACAGGAGGAGGAUGUGGAAAUAAUUGGAAAUCCCUGGGUUCCAGAAAGUCAGCAGACAACAUGCCAGCACCCUUAAGCUAAGGAGGGACCUGAGAGAGGGCCACAUGAUUAAGAUCAGAGUCAAGAACUCGACUGUCCAGAUCUCAACCACUGGGACCACUGCUGUACACUGAGAUAACCAAAAAAGGUAGAGACUGAAAGAAGACAGUGUAAUUUGAAAUUAAUCAAGAUGUAACAACUCCCUUUUGUAGGCUGUGGUUGGGAAUUCUCAGCUGAGCUGAGUGUGCCAAUGGCUGAAUCACAGUUGCUGGCCUGUUCACUCUCUGACCUAACGCUGUGCUCUUCUCACAGCUGACGAGCUGCUGAUAAAUCCUCUACAGCCUAAAACCUUGGGUUGCCUGAGGUUAACAGAGCACUGACAGUUUGGACCAGUUGAAGAUCUGUCCCUGGGUGUCUGAACCCUACAGGGAGCGUUCUUUUCUAAUGAGCAAGUUGUUCAGGGGAACAGCAGGGACUGUGAUCUGAGGAUACUGGGGUGAGAUCUCUGCCGCAGCCUCAUGGAAAAUGACAGCCAAGACCCAAAUGCUAGUUCCUUUGGUAGCAGUUAACACAUUUCCUGACUGCCGUGUUGUCCAUGUAACUUGAAAAGAAUUUUGAAUGAAUCUGUGGCAGA